Molecule: transfer RNA, 74 nt
Filed under: Triticum aestivum (bread wheat)
Lineage: Eukaryota; Viridiplantae; Streptophyta; Magnoliopsida; Poales; Poaceae
Rfam family: tRNA
About the family: Transfer RNA (tRNA) molecules are approximately 80 nucleotides in length. Their secondary structure includes four short double-helical elements and three loops (D, anti-codon, and T loops).
Source: Rfam by way of RNAcentral
GAGGGAAUAGCUCAGUUGGUUAGAGUGCUGGUCUGUCACGCCAGAAGUCGCGAGUUCGAACCCAGUUUUCCCUG